GACGAACGCUGGCGGCGUGCUUAACACAUGCAAGUCGAACGGAAAGGCCCUGCUUUUGUGGGGUGCUCGAGUGGCGAACGGGUGAGUAACACGUGAGUAACCUGCCCUUGACUUUGGGAUAACUUCAGGAAACUGGGGCUAAUACCGGAUAGGAGCUCCUGCUGCAUGGUGGGGGUUGGAAAGUUUCGGCGGUUGGGGAUGGAUGCGCGGCUUACCAGCUUGUUGGUGGGGUAGUGGCUUACCAAGGAUUUGACGGGUAGCCGGCCUGGGAGGGUGACCGGCCACAUUGGGACUGAGAUACGGCCCAGACUCCUACGGGAGGCAGCAGUGGGGAAUAUUGCACAAUGGGCGGAAGCCUGAUGCGGCAACGCCGCGUGCGGGAUGACGGCCUGCGGGGUGUAAACCGCUUUCGCCUGUGACGAAGCGUGAGUGACGGUAAUGGGUAAAGAAGCACCGGCUAACUACGUG
This 468-nucleotide ribosomal RNA is filed under the name uncultured bacterium. RNAcentral's name for it is "partial 16S ribosomal RNA". It matches the Rfam family "Bacterial small subunit ribosomal RNA", at positions 28 to 507 of the family's 1533-position model. The record is from RNAcentral.